UUCGCAAUGCCCGAAAGGGUGACGAUGCGACGCCGCGUGAGCGAAGAAGGCCCUAGGGUUGUAAAGCUCUGUCGAGGGUUAUGAAAUAUAGAUGGGUUAAUACCCCAUUUAUUUGACAAAAGCCCAAAAGGAAGCCACGGCUAACUCUGUGCCAGCAGCCGCGGUAAUACAGAGGUGGCGAGCGUUGUUCGGUAUUAUUGGGCGUAAAGAGCACGUAGGUGGUUUUGUAAGUCAGGUGUGAAAGCCUUCUGUUCAAAGGAAGAACGGCAUCUGAAACUGCAGAUCUUGAGUGUAGGAGGGGAGAGUGGAACUUCUGGUGGAGCGGUGAAAUGCGUAGAUAUCAGAAGGAACGUCGGCGGCGAAAGCGACUCUCUGGCCUAUUACUGACACUGAGUGUGCGAAAGUUAGGGGAGCAAACGGGAUUAGAUACCCCGGUAGUCCUAACCGUAAACGAUGGGCACUAAGUAGAGGGGUUUU
Molecule: ribosomal RNA, 477 nt
Filed under: Candidatus Scalindua wagneri
Lineage: Bacteria; Pseudomonadati; Planctomycetota; Candidatus Brocadiia; Candidatus Brocadiales; Candidatus Scalinduaceae
Also listed under: 1 other name
Description: bacterial SSU rRNA
Rfam family: Bacterial small subunit ribosomal RNA
Source: RNAcentral